Molecule: non-coding RNA, 809 nt
Organism: Ceratotherium simum simum (southern white rhinoceros)
Lineage: Eukaryota; Metazoa; Chordata; Mammalia; Perissodactyla; Rhinocerotidae
Source: RefSeq, a predicted model, not a curated record
CCUGGCUGUGCCAGGAAAAAAGUGCUUUGGACACCUUAACAUUUAUAAAUCUCUACGCAAUGCCAGGAGAAGAGCCCUGGCCUGGCAGAGAAAACCUAAAAUUUGAACUGGCUAACAACAAACUUGCUGUGUGAUCUGAGGCAAGCCAUUAAACCUCUCUGGCCUUCAAUUUCUUCCUCAGUAGAAGGAAGGAGUUAGGUAAGCAAAAAAUUCCACACCAGUAGGUCAAUGCUAAAGAGAGCAAUGAGGAAGGGGUUGUGGUCAGAGGAAGGUGGCCUGGCUGACCACCCAGAGACUGCUCCAAGGCUGGUAUCACCUUGGUGAAUGACCCUAAUUUGGGGCUUGUUUUUGGCCUUUUAGGUCCAGAAAUAGGACUUCAUAGUACCAGAGAGGUGCAGACAUUCUAUGAUGGUCUAUUCUAACCAUUUAUCAACCCCACUGUCCAUUUAUGAAUUGACACUUGAAAUCAGAAUGCCCACAUCCCCUAUUACAGGUGGUACCUCCAGACUCUUCUUGUUAUCAAGAGUCCCAGGGAGCUGAAUUAGGCCUUAGAAGGUUGUUCUGUGAGCAUGGACUUAAAAAGGGAAAUAAGUGGCCAUGGAGAGAAAUUUCAUUCCAGCAGUGGUGAGCCAGCCAAACCAGCCCUGCCUACAACAAAGAACCCCCUUCUAGCGACUAAAUCCAGAUUCAGUAUCUUUAUCUGGACACACUAUUAGUUUUGCCUCACUGACUUUUCACUUUCCGUUUCACUGCUGGCCACUCAUUAUUAUAUUGGUUUUUAAACUAAUUUCUUUUGUUGAAAAAAGAUU